Molecule: ribosomal RNA, 1424 nt
Filed under: Klebsiella pneumoniae
Lineage: Bacteria; Pseudomonadati; Pseudomonadota; Gammaproteobacteria; Enterobacterales; Enterobacteriaceae
Description: partial 23S ribosomal RNA
Rfam family: Bacterial large subunit ribosomal RNA
Source: RNAcentral
UGCUGGAGGUAUCAGAAGUGCGAAUGCUGACAUAAGUAACGAUAAAGCGGGUGAAAAGCCCGCUCGCCGGAAGACCAAGGGUUCCUGUCCAACGUUAAUCGGGGCAGGGUGAGUCGACCCCUAAGGCGAGGCCGAAAGGCGUAGUCGAUGGGAAACAGGUUAAUAUUCCUGUACUUGGUGUUACUGCGAAGGGGGGACGGAGAAGGCUAUGUUAGCCGGGCGACGGUUGUCCCGGUUUAAGCAUGUAGGCUGGUUGUCCAGGCAAAUCCGGAUAAUCAAGGCUGAGGUGUGAUGACGAGGCACUACGGUGCUGAAGUAACAAAUGCCCUGCUUCCAGGAAAAGCCUCUAAGCAUCAGGUAACAUCAAAUCGUACCCCAAACCGACACAGGUGGUCAGGUAGAGAAUACCAAGGCGCUUGAGAGAACUCGGGUGAAGGAACUAGGCAAAAUGGUGCCGUAACUUCGGGAGAAGGCACGCUGGUGUGUAGGUGAAGUCCCUGCGGAUGGAGCUGAGACCAGUCGAAGAUACCAGCUGGCUGCAACUGUUUAUUAAAAACACAGCACUGUGCAAACACGAAAGUGGACGUAUACGGUGUGACGCCUGCCCGGUGCCGGAAGGUUAAUUGAUGGGGUUAUCCGUAAGGAGAAGCUCUUGAUCGAAGCCCCGGUAAACGGCGGCCGUAACUAUAACGGUCCUAAGGUAGCGAAAUUCCUUGUCGGGUAAGUUCCGACCUGCACGAAUGGCGUAAUGAUGGCCAGGCUGUCUCCACCCGAGACUCAGUGAAAUUGAACUCGCUGUGAAGAUGCAGUGUACCCGCGGCAAGACGGAAAGACCCCGUGAACCUUUACUAUAGCUUGACACUGAACAUUGAGCCUUGAUGUGUAGGAUAGGUGGGAGGCUUUGAAGCGUGGACGCCAGUCUGCGUGGAGCCAACCUUGAAAUACCACCCUUUAAUGUUUGAUGUUCUAACGUUGGCCCCUUACCGGGGUUGCGGACAGUGUCUGGUGGGUAGUUUGACUGGGGCGGUCUCCUCCCAAAGCGUAACGGAGGAGCACGAAGGUUAGCUAAUCCUGGUCGGACAUCAGGAGGUUAGUGCAAUGGCAUAAGCUAGCUUGACUGCGAGCGUGACGGCGCGAGCAGGUGCGAAAGCAGGUCAUAGUGAUCCGGUGGUUCUGAAUGGAAGGGCCAUCGCUCAACGGAUAAAAGGUACUCCGGGGAUAACAGGCUGAUACCGCCCAAGAGUUCAUAUCGACGGCGGUGUUUGGCACCUCGAUGUCGGCUCAUCACAUCCUGGGGCUGAAGUAGGUCCCAAGGGUAUGGCUGUUCGCCAUUUAAAGUGGUACGCGAGCUGGGUUUAGAACGUCGUGAGACAGUUCGGUCCCUAUCUGCCGUGGGCGCUGGAGAAUUGAGGGGGGCUGCUCCU